GGUCGGUCUUGAUAUCGCCACGUGUUAACAUCUGAGAAGAUUCUGAUUUGACUAAUUUUAUCCAGAUCGUUGAGGAGUCCUAUAUAUAUAAAGUCACUUUCAUCUGAAUUUUAUUUUUGCAUUUAUUGCUUUCCUCUGCAAGAGAAGGUUUUGCUCCCUCAGUAUUAGGUGCUUCCGAGUUCUGUUCCUCGCAUCACCUUUGGCUCC
RNAcentral lists this long non-coding RNA (207 nucleotides) under Elaeis guineensis (African oil palm). RNAcentral describes it as "long non-coding RNA (EGUI_LNC004775)". The record is from RNAcentral. Lineage: Eukaryota; Viridiplantae; Streptophyta; Magnoliopsida; Arecales; Arecaceae.